UUAGGUGUCUAUUGCAUCGGGGUUCCACCUCUUCCCAUUCCGAACAGAGAAGUUAAGCCCGAUAGCGCCGAUGGUACUGCCUUUUUGGUGGGAGAGUAGGUCGACGCCAACU
This 112-nucleotide ribosomal RNA is filed under the name Labilibaculum manganireducens. Lineage: Bacteria; Pseudomonadati; Bacteroidota; Bacteroidia; Marinilabiliales; Marinifilaceae. The record is from RNAcentral.